CCAUACCUGGUUGGUGAUGUAGUCGUCGCUCCUCAAGUGGCCGCGCGUUGGACAAUGACGAACUCACUUGGCUGGCCAAGUGCUAAAUUCUGGAACGUCAUGAACGCAAUCUACGACUACGAUGCAGUAGGCUUUAGCACGCAUCGUGUGUGCAGCGCCCGGCACCCGGCGAUCUAGUAAACAGUGACAGUGGCGUUGGCAAUAAACCUCUUUGUGUUGCGAUUCGUUUAUAUAAAUAAAACGCCCAAUCGCUCUAGGUGGUGCAAUCCAGGAACUGUUUUACUUCAAUUACAAAAUCGUCGUGGAGUAAAGAGACUGGCCGCUGGACCAUUGGCAGCUUCGCGGGCUUUCCACUGCAUCGGCCAUCUUUCCGAUUAAAGUACAACGUGUGCCACGUGUGCCACUAGAUUGUGCCGCAUUAUUGUGAACCCACCCGCACGCCCCCACACCCACACGAGUUCUAACCGGUUCGAACCGAGAAAAGCUGAAACAUCUGUGUCAAUACACGACGGGACGGGAGCAAAGCCAGAACGCGUGGAUGGCUGCCAAUGCAGCAUUGGUCGGCCCUUCUCCGCCUCCCGAAAGCCGUCGGUGAAAUCGUCGUUCAGUCUUUUCACCGCUUUUGCUCCGCUCGUGAUGCUGCACGAAGCUGCGAGCCUCCUACACGAAGCGAAUAGCUGGCUGUGUCGACGUGCUGGCAGCUAGCCAAGUGAAGUGGGCAACCCUCUGCCAAAAACCUCUGCAGCUCGGGGUGUGAGGUGCGAUUAGAGCAAUAAAUGUGGACGAGUGCUGCUGAUGCUGCUGAUGCUGCUAGCACAAGGUA
Anopheles aquasalis is the source of this 823-nucleotide long non-coding RNA. RefSeq lists it as uncharacterized. The record is from RefSeq and is a predicted model, not a curated record. Lineage: Eukaryota; Metazoa; Arthropoda; Insecta; Diptera; Culicidae.